This 477-nucleotide ribosomal RNA is filed under the name uncultured bacterium. Its description in RNAcentral is "bacterial SSU rRNA". It matches the Rfam family "Bacterial small subunit ribosomal RNA", at positions 30 to 507 of the family's 1533-position model. The record is from RNAcentral.
AUUGAACGCUGGCGGCAUGCCUUACACAUGCAAGUCGAACGGUAACAGGGAGCUUGCUCCGCUGACGAGUGGCGAACGGGUGAGUAAUGUAUCGGAACGUACCAUUCAGUGGGGGAUAACGUAGCGAAAGUUACGCUAAUACCGCAUAUUCUGUGAGCAGGAAAGCAGGGGAUCGCAAGACCUUGCGCUGAUUGAGCGGCCGAUAUCAGAUUAGCUAGUUGGUGAGGUAAAGGCUCACCAAGGCGACGAUCUGUAGCGGGUCUGAGAGGAUGAUCCGCCACACUGGAACUGAGACACGGUCCAGACUCCUACGGGAGGCAGCAGUGGGGAAUUUUGGACAAUGGGGGCAACCCUGAUCCAGCCAUGCCGCGUGAGUGAAGAAGGCCUCGGUGUAAGCUCUUCGGCCGGAAAAUACGCAUCAGUUAAUACCUGGUGUGGAUGAUGGUACCGGAAUAAGAAGCACCGGCUAACUACGUG